AUUAGCAGACGACGAUAAUAGCCAGUCUGUUUACAAGAAACGUCAGGCUGCGCUGCAUUAUUUUUAAUCAAUUUACGUUCUUAUUACAUAUUCCAUUAUUCCUGCCACCGUUUCUGAUUUAAAUGUUACGUCUAGUUAAAUUAGUCCAUUGCCGAGACUAUUACCUGAGCAUGUUUCUGAUUUCGUCCCCCAAUCUUUACUUUUUUGGAUCAUUUUGACGACUCAAAUUAGUACAUGCUUGUACUACGAAAAAGAAUGAGUCGAAUUGGUAUCGAAAAGCUAAAGAUCCUGUAUUCCAGUUUCUCCUGUGCACACCUCGAGCAGAGCAACAACAAAGUCAACGCCUAGGUGUCAAGGAAUUAAAAAAAAAACCUUGCUUAACCACAAGUUGCUACUUAAGCGUAAAAGAAGUCUGUAUAGAAAGCUAGCUGAAACAGGUUGACGGAACUAUUUCAAUCAUGAAAUAGUGUUGAAAAAUGUCUCAAUCAAACAAACCAGAAUGUUGAAGCAUGAGGAGGGAAAGGGAAGGGAAGGGAGAAGGGAAUAUAAGUCAGGAAUUACUCGCUUAUCCUGUUUAGUUGGUGAGCUGGUGAAAGGCACACUUGAUUCCAAUGACAUGAACAUAAAUCGUGUUAAUGUUGAUCACAAUGAAAGAUAGACAAUUGAUUUUCAACUACCCAGAAAAACUGUUCACUAAUGCCAAUGUUAUGGCUGUAAAAAACGCCGAUUUUAGUUAUAUCGAGCACCUUGCAUUGGUAAUUAGAGGUGAAAUCGUCUCUAUACAUUUAGUCAUCCCGAACUUCUCAAACUUGAACGCUGUAAUCUUAUUGAAAAGGUCAUGUGAUUGGUGAUGAAACUGAUGACAAAUUGUUACAAUACUCUGCCGUUCCAUUGGGUGUAGCUUGCACUCUAGUUUGCGUGGUACAACCCAACAGAUCCUUGAUGAAGCUGAAUGUGUGUUUUACAGUCGACUUUUAAGAAAAUACGCAAUGUCUUCGGCGAAGAUUGUAGCGAAGUACUGAUGGACCAUGACAGUAUAUACUUUGACUGCCAAGACUCCUAACAAAGAAUGAAUGGCUAUAGAGAAUUUCACUGCCCGCAAAUUUCUACAGCUACUCGUCAUGAUUGCCAUAAAUGAGGGUUAUGAUUCAGCCCAACUUGUGUCAACAGAGCUUCGAGUUAAACAUUAAGAAGGAAUUUAAGCAACCUUAGAACUAAUUUAUCAUAUGAACUGUGGCAACAUUAAUUAGAUGUAGCAGUUGGGAGUCACAGUAUCCUUUUUUGUUAAGCGUUAUGUGCAAGUAUCUGCAGCUGAAAGCGACUGAAACAAUUGUAUGCGCUUAUGAUAUCAUUAAGGCAGCACUUCGACAUCAUGAGCAAGACAGAAGUCAUUUUUAAAAUUGCAAUGUCAAUGCACAACUUACAUCCCAACCUGAACUGGCAUCCAAUACCCAUUGCUCUGGUUAAAAUUUAAAAAAACCUAUAGCUAUUUGAUAUCUUUUUGAUAUUAAUUUUCAAGAGAUGACAUUCAACAACUACACCGGUGGAAUUUGAAAUUAAAUCUCCUUUAAAACAAUUCAUUUUUUAACAAGAAUCCCCUAUCGAAAACUUUCUGGCAUAUUAAUUAUUCAAUUACGUAUUUUUUUUCAAUUUUUUCAAAUUUAAGAACUAUCUCAGUUACGAUUCAACACUGCAGUGACUGAACCAUCAUAGGCUAACAUCAAUAUUUUAUUCUGCCAAAAAAAUGAAAUAAAAAAAAUCAAUCAAUGCUAAUUA
Molecule: long non-coding RNA, 1776 nt
Filed under: Daphnia pulex (common water flea)
Lineage: Eukaryota; Metazoa; Arthropoda; Branchiopoda; Diplostraca; Daphniidae
Description: uncharacterized LOC124193943, transcript variant X2
Source: RNAcentral